GAUGAACGCUAGCUACAGGCUUAACACAUGCAAGUCGAGGGGUAACAUUGGCUGAGCUUGCUCUGCCAGAUGACGACCGGCGGAUGGGUGAGUAACGCGUAUCCAACCUGGCCCUAUCUCGGGGACAGCCCCUCGAAAGAGGGAUUAAUACCCGAUGUUCCCUGGUUUCCGCAUGUUUACCAGGGCAAAGGCUUUUGUCGGAUAGGGAUGGGGAUGCGUUCCAUUAGGCAGUCGGCGGGGUAACGGCCCACCGAGCCUACGAUGGAUAGGGGUUCUGAGAGGAAGGCCCCCCACACUGGGACUGAGACACGGCCCAGACUCC
This 322-nucleotide ribosomal RNA is filed under the name uncultured Bacteroides sp. Its description in RNAcentral is "bacterial SSU rRNA". It matches the Rfam family "Bacterial small subunit ribosomal RNA", at positions 28 to 339 of the family's 1533-position model. Lineage: Bacteria; Pseudomonadati; Bacteroidota; Bacteroidia; Bacteroidales; Bacteroidaceae. The record is from RNAcentral.